RNAcentral lists this ribosomal RNA (253 nucleotides) under uncultured bacterium. RNAcentral describes it as "partial 16S ribosomal RNA". It matches the Rfam family "Bacterial small subunit ribosomal RNA", at positions 524 to 776 of the family's 1533-position model. The record is from RNAcentral.
UACGUAGGGUGCGAGCGUUAAUCGGAAUUACUGGGCGUAAAGCGUGCGCAGGCGGUUCGUUGUGUCGGUGGUGAAAUCCCCGGGCUUAACCUGGGAAUGGCCAUGGAAACUGGCGAACUGGAGUGCGGCAGAGGGGGGUGGAAUUCCUGGUGUAGCGGUGAAAUGCGCAGAUAUCAGGAGGAACACCAAUUGCGAAGGCAGCUCGCUGGGACGUUACUGACGCUGAGACGCGAAAGCGUGGGGAGCAAACAGG